This is a non-coding RNA of Salmo salar (Atlantic salmon), 54 nucleotides long. The record is from Rfam. Lineage: Eukaryota; Metazoa; Chordata; Actinopteri; Salmoniformes; Salmonidae.
UGCACUCACGAUGGUAAGUCGCUCUGGAUAAGAGCGCCUGCUAAAUAACUAAAA